GUUUCCUGUGCUAUUCUUGUGAUUGACAGUGAAUGAGUCUCACAAGAUCUGACGGUUUUUAAAAACGGGAGUUUCCCUGCACAAAUUUGCUUGCUGGCAACCAUGUGAGAUGGGACUUUCUCCUCCUUGACUUUCGCCAUGAUUGUGAGGCCUUCCCAGCCAUGUGGAACUCUUCUUUCGUGGCAAUUUUCCCCCAGGAGGGAUUUCCCUGCAGUGGACCUCCUCCCCAGUGGUACCUUCAGCCAUCAGAACACCUCGCUUUAGAUCUGUGGGUCCCAAAUUUCAUCAAAUCCAAUGACCAUUUCUAUGAUCACUCAUUCUGGGGGCAGCCCUCUGGCAUGUAAUGAGCAGUCCUAUGGAGAGGCCCAUGUGACAGUAGCCAUGCGAGUGACACUGGAAGUGAAACCUGCAGCUCCAGUCAAGCCUUUAGAAGACUGCAGCCCUGGCUGACAGCUUGACAGCAAACUCAUGAGAGACUCUCAGCUUGAACAACUCAGCUAAACUGUUCCUGGGUUCCUGGUCCUCAAAAACUCUGGAAUUCUGUGAAGCACAUGACCUCAAGUCUUUGGAUAAAUGGAAACGCAGCUUAUGCCGGAAAGAUGGGGUGUGUUUUCCUCUAAUGCUUUCCUGAAGACUCGGCAAUCAGCUACCCUCCAGAGUUGCUGCCUUCAAAUAAUGACUACCUCAGAAACUGAUGGAAAAGAACUGUACCAUGUACUUUUAAACUAUUGACACUUCUAAAAAUAGACUCUUUCAUAUAGGCUUCUGUGCUUAGCAACUUUUA
Molecule: long non-coding RNA, 784 nt
Filed under: Homo sapiens (human)
Lineage: Eukaryota; Metazoa; Chordata; Mammalia; Primates; Hominidae
Description: HSALNT0087839
Source: RNAcentral